RNAcentral lists this ribosomal RNA (250 nucleotides) under uncultured bacterium. RNAcentral's name for it is "partial 16S ribosomal RNA". It matches the Rfam family "Bacterial small subunit ribosomal RNA", at positions 524 to 773 of the family's 1533-position model. The record is from RNAcentral.
UACGGAGGGGGCUAGCGUUGUUCGGAAUUACUGGGCGUAAAGCGCACGUAGGCGGCGAUUUAAGUCAGGGGUGAAAGCCCAGUGCUCAACACUGGAACUGCCCUUGAGACUGGAUUGCUAGAAUCACGGAGAGGUGGGUGGAAUUCCGAGUGUAGAGGUGAAAUUCGUAGAUAUUCGGAAGAACACCAGUGGCGAAGGCGGCCCACUGGACGUGUAUUGACGCUGAGGUGCGAAAGCGUGGGGAGCAAAC